CAUCCUCCAAGGCUAAAUACUCCUGACUGACCGAUAGUGAACCAGUACCGUGAGGGAAAGGCGAAAAGAACCCCGGCGAGGGGAGUGAAAAAGAACCUGAAACCGUGUACGUACAAGCAGUGGGAGCCCCACCACCAAAGCAUUCUCUGGUGUUGAAGGCCCUGCAAAGCAGCAUCGCGGUGGCGGAGCGUCGUUUGCGACGCCCAACACACAAAACAAGCGGUGAGUGCUUUGGGGUGGGGUGACUGCGUACCUUUUGUAUAAUGGGUCAGCGACUUAUAUUCUGUAGCAAGGUUAACCGUAUAGGGGAGCCGUAGGGAAACCGAGUCUUAACCGGGCGUUAAGUUGCAGGGUAUAGACCCGAAACCCGGUGAUCUAGCCAUGGGCAGGUUGAAGGUUGGGUAACACUAACUGGAGGACCGAACCGACUAAUGUUGAAAAAUUAGCGGAUGACCUGUGGCUGGGGGUGAAAGGCCAAUCAAACCGGGAGAUAGCUGGUUCUCCCCGAAAGCUAUUUAGGUAGCGCCUCGUGAAUUCAUCUCCGGGGGUAGAGCACUGUUUCGGCUAGGGGGCCAUCCCGGCUUACCAACCCGAUGCAAACUGCGAAUACCGGAGAAUGUUAUCACGGGAGACACACGGCGGGUGCUAACGUCCGUCGUGAAGAGGGAAACAACCCAGACCGCCAGCUAAGGUCCCAAAGUCAUGGUUAAGUGGGAAACGAUGUGGGAAGGCCCAGACAGCCAGGAUGUUGGCUUAGAAGCAGCCAUCAUUUAAAGAAAGCGUAAUAGCUCACUGGUCGAGUCGGCCUGCGCGGAAGAUGUAACGGGGCUAAACCAUGCACCGAAGCUGCGGCAGCGA
This 858-nucleotide ribosomal RNA is filed under the name Salmonella enterica subsp. enterica serovar 6,8:i:-. Its description in RNAcentral is "bacterial LSU rRNA". It matches the Rfam family "Bacterial large subunit ribosomal RNA", at positions 454 to 1211 of the family's 2925-position model. The record is from RNAcentral. Lineage: Bacteria; Pseudomonadati; Pseudomonadota; Gammaproteobacteria; Enterobacterales; Enterobacteriaceae.